This 587-nucleotide long non-coding RNA is filed under the name Junco hyemalis (dark-eyed junco). RNAcentral's name for it is "lncRNA (ENSJHYG00000006324.1)". Lineage: Eukaryota; Metazoa; Chordata; Aves; Passeriformes; Passerellidae. The record is from RNAcentral.
AAAGAUCAUCAAAGGCUGUCCCAGCCCCUCUGCCAGGACAGGACACACCUUCCACUAGACCAGGUUGCUCAGAGCCCCAUGCGGUGUAUACUCAUUGCUCAAGCGAAGUGAGAAAAGCUUUGUCUCAUGCUGUUGCUUAUCUCCUCUGCUCUUGUCCUAGGAAGAUUUUUCAGGAUAGCGGCAUUUCAAAAAGUGUUGGAUCUGACUCGUCCUUUCACAUGGAAAUUUCCUGAAUGUCCCCACUGAUAAUGAGCAGAUUGAUGCAAAGCCAACAGGUCAGGAGAGGGGAUUCUGCCCCUCAGCUCUGCUCUGCUGAGACCCACCUGGAGUGCUGCAUCCAGCUCUGGGAUCCCCAGCACAGGAAAGACAUGAACCUGUUGGAGUGAGCCCAGGGGAGGCCAGCAAGAUGAUCAGAGGGAUGGAGCACCUCUCGCACAAGGAAAGGUGAGGGAAUUUGGUUUGUUUAGCCUGGAAAAGAGAAGGCUUUUUGCUGUUUGCAGCCUUCCAGUACCUAAAAGGACUGUACAAGAAAAAUGGAGAAGGACUUUUUACAAGAGCAUGUCGUUAUAGGAGAAAUAGAAUCAAAU